AGCACGGUUGUUGCUCCACAUUCUCUGUUUGAAAAUUUACUUUAUAAGCACAGAUAGAUAACUUCAUAGUCACUAAACUGGGAUUGUUCGAUAAUAUGUGGUUGGCUAAUUUAUAAACAUCUUGAUUAAUAAGUAGUCUCUAGAAAAUUUGGGUAUUAUCGCUAAUUCUAAGUCAAUGACAAUCUAGUAGCAUAACCUCAUUUCACUAACGAUUUCUCCGACUAGCUUAAUCUUCUAAGAAUAUUAUAUUAUUUUUUUUGGCAAACAACUCACUAAUUUAAUAUUUUCAACCAAAUACCGAAUUCUAGCAUAGCAACAGGAAAUUGAAAACCAGAAUCUGCCUUGUGCUGAACAAAAAGAACCUUACUCCAUCCAGCUAGGUCAGAUGCAUCACGACACUCAACUCGGAACUUUGAUAGAUGACUUCCAACUUGUGCAACAGUUUCCUUCUGAAUCUUAGCAAGUGAGGGACUGAUUUCUAUAGAACUGAUAUAUAUUAAAAAUACCAUGCAGUUAAUAUAAUUGCAGCAUGUUUCAUAACAGUUUAUUAUUCUUAAGUUCCAGCCAAAGAUGAUUUUGUAUGAAUACAUGCUAGCUUAAAUUGACAAGAGAGGAAAACUGGCAUACGUACGUGUAGCUCAUGUUCUUGUAGAUU
This is a long non-coding RNA of Arabidopsis thaliana (thale cress), 655 nucleotides long. RefSeq annotates it as other RNA. Lineage: Eukaryota; Viridiplantae; Streptophyta; Magnoliopsida; Brassicales; Brassicaceae. The transcript has a single exon. The record is from RefSeq.